UAAAACGUAGGAGGCGAGCGUUAUCCGGAUUUACUGGGCGUAAAGCGCGUGCAGGCGGCUCGAAAAGUUGGAUGUGAAAGCUCCUGGCUUAACUGGGAGAGGUCGUUCAAUACUUUCGGGCUUGAGGAUGGGAGAGGGAGGUGGAAUUCCGGGUGUAGUGGUGAAAUGCGUAGAUAUCCGGAGGAACACCAGUGGCGAAGGCGGCCUCCUGGCCCAUUUCUGACGCUCAGACGCGAAAGCUAGGGUAGCAAACGGG
This 256-nucleotide ribosomal RNA is filed under the name uncultured bacterium. RNAcentral's name for it is "partial 16S ribosomal RNA". It matches the Rfam family "Bacterial small subunit ribosomal RNA", at positions 521 to 776 of the family's 1533-position model. The record is from RNAcentral.